GGAAUAGAGCUGUACCUGGCUUCAGGCGAGACUUGGCAACUCCAAAAUGGAAGUACUAUUGUUAUCUCCGUUUACAAAUUAGGAAACUGAGGCACAGAUAUGCUCUUGGGUACUUGUCAGCAGCAGUUGUUCUACAAAUGAGCGUCUUAGCCUCUGGAUUACUGCUCAAUGAGGAAAGCUAUGAAAUGCAUGGAUAACUUGCUAAUCAGUAUUUGCCAUAUGUGCUAGCAGCAUCAGCAUCAGUUGGGAGAUUAUGGUGGCCUCCAUGUCAGACCUCCUAAAUCGGAAUAUCAGAGAAGGUGGCCCAGGUUACCAUGCUUCAUCUGCCAAUGCAUUGAAAACUUGGAAUGUAAAUUAAUUCAACCAUUGUGGAAGAUGGUGUAGUGAUUCCUCAAAGACCUAGAAGCAGAAAUAUCAUUUGAUCCAGAAAUCCCAUUACUGUGUAUACACCCAAAGGAAUAUAAACCAUUCUAUUACAAA
RNAcentral lists this long non-coding RNA (480 nucleotides) under Homo sapiens (human). RNAcentral describes it as "HSALNT0334536". The record is from RNAcentral. Lineage: Eukaryota; Metazoa; Chordata; Mammalia; Primates; Hominidae.